UGCCUAACAGCUAGCCCACCCAAACAAUUUCAACAAACCCCUGUUAAUAACCCCUAAGUACCCCAGUAUUUAUUUUAAACAAACCAUUUUUCCCCCCUAGUAUAGGCGAUAGAAAAGGGCCUACGGCGCAAUAGAGAAAGUACCGCAAGGGAACGCUGAAAGAGAAGUGAAACAACCCAGUAAAGCCUAAAAAAGCAGAGAUCUAAACUCGUACCUUUUGCAUCAUGAUUUAGCAAGUGUAACCCAAGCAAAGCGUACUUUAGUUUGACGUCCCGAAACUAGGUGAGCUACUCCAAGACAGCCUAUCAAUAGGGCGUACCCGUCUCUGUGGCAAAAGAGUGGGGAGAGCUUUGAGUAGAGGUGACAAACCUACCGAACCUAGUUAUAGCUGGUUGUCCAAGAAAUGAAUAGAAGUUCAGCCUUUCAGCUUCUCUUUUCACCUUAGCCUGACCCCUAUUGAUGUAUUAAAGAAACCGAAAGAGUUAGUCAAAGGGGGUACAGCUCCUUUGAAUCAAGACACAACUUUCCCAGGAGGGUAAAGAUCAUAAUAAUUAAAGCUAAAUGUUCUGGUGGGCCUAAAAGCAGCCAUCCCCUUAGAAAGCGUUAAAGCUCAGACAUGCGACCAUACUUCUUAUCCUGAUCACCCAAUCUUAUCCCCCUAACCAUACUGGACCAUCCCAUGCCAACAUGGGAGUGACUAUGCUGAAAUGAGUAAUAAGAGAGCUAUCGGCUCUCUCCCUGCACACAUGUACAUCGGAACGGACAACCCACCGAACCUUAACGGCCCCAAAUAAAGAGGGCAGUGGAUGUUAGACCAAAAAACUAGAAAACUAUCCAAAAACCAACCGUUAAACCCACACAGGUGUGCCCCCAGGGAAAGACUAAA
RNAcentral lists this ribosomal RNA (886 nucleotides) under Hexagrammos agrammus (spotbelly greenling). RNAcentral describes it as "partial 16S rRNA". The stretch from base 191 to 886 matches the Rfam family "Bacterial large subunit ribosomal RNA", at positions 566 to 1685 of the family's 2925-position model. Lineage: Eukaryota; Metazoa; Chordata; Actinopteri; Perciformes; Hexagrammidae. The record is from RNAcentral.